AACGCAAGCCGCCUUAUCGUUCCGUCGCCUAGACGGGAAGGAAAGUCCGGGCAACGCAGAGCAUCCUGCUUCCUAACGGGAAGGGUUCCGGCACCUGCCGGAAUACAGCCAGUGCCACAGAAAACAAACCGCCACGGCGCAAGCCGGGGUAAGGGUGAAAAGGUGCGGUAAGAGCGCACCGGCCCGCUGGUGACAGGGGGCGCAUGGUAAACCUCAGGAGUUGAAAGACCAAAUAGGUCCCUCUUCCCCCUUUUGGGGGGCCAGAGUUGCUCGCUCAAAUUCCGGCCACUGGCCGGCAAGAGAGGGAUGGGUAGGUCGAUAGAGCCCGGUGGUGACACCGGGCCCAGAUAAAUGAUAGGGACCCAAAAUUCAUUUUGGGAUACAGAACCCGGCUUACAGGCUUGCGUUUACU
This 412-nucleotide RNase P RNA is filed under the name Cesiribacter andamanensis AMV16. RNAcentral's name for it is "Bacterial RNase P class A". It matches the Rfam family "Bacterial RNase P class A". Rfam says of the family: Ribonuclease P (RNase P) is a ubiquitous endoribonuclease, found in archaea, bacteria and eukarya as well as chloroplasts and mitochondria. Its best characterised activity is the generation of mature 5'-ends of tRNAs by cleaving the 5'-leader elements of precursor-tRNAs. Cellular RNase Ps are ribonucleoproteins. The record is from Rfam by way of RNAcentral. Lineage: Bacteria; Pseudomonadati; Bacteroidota; Cytophagia; Cytophagales; Cesiribacteraceae.